This 492-nucleotide ribosomal RNA is filed under the name uncultured bacterium. RNAcentral's name for it is "partial 16S ribosomal RNA". It matches the Rfam family "Bacterial small subunit ribosomal RNA", at positions 29 to 507 of the family's 1533-position model. The record is from RNAcentral.
AGUGAACGCUGGCGGUAGGCCUAACACAUGCAAGUCGAACGGCAGCACAGUAAGAGCUUGCUCUUACGGGUGGCGAGUGGCGGACGGGUGAGGAAUACAUCGGAAUCUACUUUUUCGUGGGGGAUAACGUAGGGAAACUUACGCUAAUACCGCAUACGACCUACGGGUGAAAGCAGGGGAUCUUCGGACCUUGCGCGAUUGAAUGAGCCGAUGUCGGAUUAGCUAGUUGGCGGGGUAAAGGCCCACCAAGGCGACGAUCCGUAGCUGGUCUGAGAGGAUGAUCAGCCGCACUGGAACUGAGACACGGUCCAGACUCCUACGGGAGGCAGCAGUGGGGAAUAUUGGACAAUGGGCGCAAGCCUGAUCCAGCCAUACCGCGUGGGUGAAGAAGGCCUUCGGGUUGUAAAGCCCUUUUGUUGGGAAAGAAAAGCAGCAGGUUAAUACCCCGCCGUUCUGACGGUACCCAAAGAAUAAGCACCGGCUAACUUCGUG